This 73-nucleotide transfer RNA is filed under the name Planctomycetota bacterium. Its description in RNAcentral is "tRNA-Phe". It matches the Rfam family "tRNA". Rfam says of the family: Transfer RNA (tRNA) molecules are approximately 80 nucleotides in length. Their secondary structure includes four short double-helical elements and three loops (D, anti-codon, and T loops). Lineage: Bacteria; Pseudomonadati; Planctomycetota. The record is from RNAcentral. RNAcentral also lists the same sequence under 2 other names.
GGACAGGUAGCUCAGCUGGUAGAGCGAAGGACUGAAAAUCCUUAGGUCGCCGGUUCAACCCCGGCCCUGUCCA